This 1136-nucleotide ribosomal RNA is filed under the name Flavobacterium sp. RNAcentral describes it as "bacterial SSU rRNA". It matches the Rfam family "Bacterial small subunit ribosomal RNA", at positions 66 to 1214 of the family's 1533-position model. The record is from RNAcentral. Lineage: Bacteria; Pseudomonadati; Bacteroidota; Flavobacteriia; Flavobacteriales; Flavobacteriaceae.
GGUAUGCUUCUUCGGAAGAGAGACCGGCGCACGGGUGCGUAACGCGUAUGCAAUCUACCUUUUACAGAGGGAUAGCCCAGAGAAAUUUGGAUUAAUACCUCAUAGUAUAGCUGAAUCGCAUGAUUCUACUAUUAAAGUCACAACGGUAAAAGAUGAGCAUGCGUCCCAUUAGCUAGUUGGUAAGGUAACGGCUUACCAAGGCUACGAUGGGUAGGGGUCCUGAGAGGGAGAUCCCCCACACUGGUACUGAGACACGGACCAGACUCCUACGGGAGGCAGCAGUGAGGAAUAUUGGACAAUGGGCGCAAGCCUGAUCCAGCCAUGCCGCGUGCAGGAUGACGGUCCUAUGGAUUGUAAACUGCUUUUAUACGAGAAGAAACACUGCUUCGUGAAGCAGCUUGACGGUAUCGUAAGAAUAAGGAUCGGCUAACUCCGUGCCAGCAGCCGCGGUAAUACGGAGGAUCCAAGCGUUAUCCGGAAUCAUUGGGUUUAAAGGGUCCGUAGGCGGUUUAAUAAGUCAGUGGUGAAAGCCCAUCGCUCAACGGUGGAACGGCCAUUGAUACUGUUAAACUUGAAUUAUUAGGAAGUAACUAGAAUAUGUAGUGUAGCGGUGAAAUGCUUAGAGAUUACAUGGAAUACCAAUUGCGAAGGCAGGUUACUACUAAUGGAUUGACGCUGAUGGACGAAAGCGUGGGUAGCGAACAGGAUUAGAUACCCUGGUAGUCCACGCCGUAAACGAUGGAUACUAGCUGUUGGGAGCAAUCUCAGUGGCUAAGCGAAAGUGAUAAGUAUCCCACCUGGGGAGUACGUUCGCAAGAAUGAAACUCAAAGGAAUUGACGGGGGCCCGCACAAGCGGUGGAGCAUGUGGUUUAAUUCGAUGAUACGCGAGGAACCUUACCAAGGCUUAAAUGUAGAUUGACCGGUUUGGAAACAGAUCUUUCGCAAGACAAUUUACAAGGUGCUGCAUGGUUGUCGUCAGCUCGUGCCGUGAGGUGUCAGGUUAAGUCCUAUAACGAGCGCAACCCCUGUUGUUAGUUGCCAGCGAGUCAUGUCGGGAACUCUAACAAGACUGCCAGUGCAAACUGUGAGGAAGGUGGGGAUGACGUCAAAUCAUCACGGCCCUUACGCCUUGGGC